GGGUAUAGUUUAGUGGUAGAGCGCACGCCUGAUAAGCGUGAGGUCGAUGGUUCAAGUCCAUUUAGGCCCA
Molecule: transfer RNA, 70 nt
Filed under: Lactobacillus helveticus
Lineage: Bacteria; Bacillati; Bacillota; Bacilli; Lactobacillales; Lactobacillaceae
Description: tRNA-Ile
Rfam family: tRNA
About the family: Transfer RNA (tRNA) molecules are approximately 80 nucleotides in length. Their secondary structure includes four short double-helical elements and three loops (D, anti-codon, and T loops). Further hydrogen bonds mediate the characteristic L-shaped molecular structure. tRNAs have two regions of fundamental functional importance: the anti-codon, which is responsible for specific mRNA codon recognition, and the 3' end, to which the tRNAs corresponding amino acid is attached (by aminoacyl-tRNA synthetases). tRNAs cope with the degeneracy of the genetic code in two manners: having more than one tRNA (with a specific anti-codon) for a particular amino acid; and 'wobble' base-pairing, i.e. permitting non-standard base-pairing at the 3rd anti-codon position.
Source: RNAcentral